UAGCAUUGCCUCAAGGACCAAUUACAAGGCUGAGAUCCAAGAGGUUGAAGGAAGCACUUCAAGGAUUCAUGAAGGAAUAUGUUGAAACUUUGCAAGUUCAUUUUGAAGUUGAAGAACAAUCUGGCCAUUCCAAGUCAAUUAGGCCAAAUGUGUCCUUAUUGACAAUUCAAAUUUUGUAUUUAUAGUGGGUAGUCAUUUAGUAGUUGGUAGUUAACCAGUAGUG
This 223-nucleotide long non-coding RNA is filed under the name Manihot esculenta (cassava). RNAcentral's name for it is "long non-coding RNA (MESC_LNC004006)". Lineage: Eukaryota; Viridiplantae; Streptophyta; Magnoliopsida; Malpighiales; Euphorbiaceae. The record is from RNAcentral.